AUUGAACGCUGGCGGCAGGCUUAACACAUGCAAGUCGAGCGAGCGGCGGACGGGUGCGUAAUGUCUGGGAAACUGCCUGAUGGAGGGGGUUAACUAAUGGACACUGUCUCUACUACCGACUCACAUCACCUGUUCCCAGAUGGGAUUAGCUAGUGGGGGGGGCAAAGGCUCACCUGGGCGCAGACCCCUAGCUGGUCUGAGAGGAUGACCAGCCAAACUGGAACUGAGACACGGUCCAGACUCCUACGGGAGGCAGCAGUGGGGAAUAUUGCACAAUGGGCGAAAGCCUGAUGCAGCCAUGCCGCGUGUGUGAAGAAGGCCUUCGGGUUGUAAAGCACUUUCAGCGAGGAGGCGUUACUCGCAGAAGAAGCACCGGCUAACUCCGUGCCAGCAGCCGCGGUAAUAC
This 406-nucleotide ribosomal RNA is filed under the name uncultured bacterium. RNAcentral describes it as "partial 16S ribosomal RNA". It matches the Rfam family "Bacterial small subunit ribosomal RNA", at positions 30 to 526 of the family's 1533-position model. The record is from RNAcentral.